GAUGAACGCUGGCGGCGUGCCUAAUACAUGCAAGUCGAGCGAACGGACGAGAAGCUUGCUUCUCUGAUGUUAGCGGCGGACGGGUGAGUAACACGUGGAUAACCUACCUAUAAGACUGGGAUAACUUCGGGAAACCGGAGCUAAUACCGGAUAAUAUUUUCAACCGCAUGGUUCAAAAGUGAAAGACGGUCUUGCUGUCACUUAUAGAUGGAUCCGCGCUGCAUUAGCUAGUUGGUAAGGUAACGGCUUACCAAGGCAACGAUGCAUAGCCGACCUGAGAGGGUGAUCGGCCACACUGGAACUGAGACACGGUCCAGACUCCUACGGGAGGCAGCAGUAGGGAAUCUUCCGCAAUGGGCGAAAGCCUGACGGAGCAACGCCGCGUGAGUGAUGAAGGUCUUCGGAUCGUAAAACUCUGUUAUUAGGGAAGAACAUAUGUGUAAGUAACUGUGCACAUCUUGACGGUACCUAAUCAGAAAGCCACGGCUAACUACGUG
RNAcentral lists this ribosomal RNA (497 nucleotides) under uncultured bacterium. RNAcentral's name for it is "partial 16S ribosomal RNA". It matches the Rfam family "Bacterial small subunit ribosomal RNA", at positions 28 to 507 of the family's 1533-position model. The record is from RNAcentral.